RNAcentral lists this long non-coding RNA (210 nucleotides) under Lathyrus oleraceus (garden pea). RNAcentral describes it as "Pisum sativum (pea) long non-coding RNA (PSAT_LNC016875)". Lineage: Eukaryota; Viridiplantae; Streptophyta; Magnoliopsida; Fabales; Fabaceae. The record is from RNAcentral.
UCACUCUCUCUGUCUAGGUUUCUCUCCAGGUUUUGUCCAGGUUUUUGUUCCAAGGAAACCUCAUAGUGUUUUGCAUCUCUUUCUUUUUCUGUCUGUUCUCCCUCUUUUAUAACCUGAUUUUCAUGGCUUUGUGGGCUCAAAUGAGAGAGGUCAAAGUCUGAGAUUUUUCUUUUAUUUAUUUAUUAAAUUUUUUUUUUCUUUUCGUUUUUC